Molecule: ribosomal RNA, 468 nt
Filed under: uncultured bacterium
Lineage: Bacteria
Description: partial 16S ribosomal RNA
Rfam family: Bacterial small subunit ribosomal RNA
Source: RNAcentral
GACGAACGCUGGCGGCGUGCUUAACACAUGCAAGUCGAACGGAAAGGCCCUGCUUUUGUGGGGUGCUCGAGUGGCGAAUGGGUGAGUAACACGUGAGUAACCUGCCCUUGACUUUGGGAUAACUUCAGGAAACUGGGGCUAAUACCGGAUAGGAGCUCCUGCUGCAUGGUGGGGGUUGGAAAGUUUCGGCGGUUGGGGAUGGACUCGCGGCUUAUCAGCUUGUUGGUGGGGUAGUGGCUUACCAAGGCUUUGACGGGUAGCCGGCCUGAGAGGGUGACCGGCCACAUUGGGACUGAGAUACGGCCCAGACUCCUACGGGAGGCAGCAGUGGGGAAUAUUGCACAAUGGGCGGAAGCCUGAUGCAGCAACGCCGCGUGCGGGAUGACGGCCUUCGGGUUGUAAACCGCUUUCGCCUGUGACGAAGCGUAAGUGACGGUAAUGGGUAAAGAAGCACCGGCUAACUACGUG